GAAAUGCGAUAAGUAAUGUGAAUUGUAGAAUUCAGUGAAUCAUCGAAUCUUUGAACGCACCUUGCGCUCCUUGGUAUUCCUUGGAGCAUGCCUGUUUGAGUAUCAUGAAAUCUUCAAAGUAAAUCUUUUGUUAACUCAAUUGGUUUCUACUUUGGUAUUGGAGGUCUUUGCAGCUUCACACCUGCUCCUCUUUGUUCAUUAGCUGGAUCUCAGUGUUAUGCUUGGUUCCACUCGGCGUGAUAAGUUAUCUAUCGCUGAGGACACUGUAAAAGGUGGCCAAGGUAAAUGCAGAUGAACCGCUUCUAAUAGUCCAUUGACUUGGACAAUACUUUUAUGAUCUGAUCUCAAAUCAGGUAGGACUACCCGCUGAACUGAAG
RNAcentral lists this unclassified non-coding RNA (377 nucleotides) under plant metagenome. RNAcentral's name for it is "partial contains 5.8S ribosomal RNA, internal transcribed spacer 2, and large subunit ribosomal RNA". The stretch from base 1 to 105 matches the Rfam family "5.8S ribosomal RNA", at positions 50 to 154 of the family's 154-position model. The record is from RNAcentral.